GUCAUUUGAUUAGGCCAUGUUGCGCCUGAGUCGAUAUGAAGUUGAACUGGAGGAUACCAGUGUAGUGUUAGCUUCAGUCCAACUUAAUAUCGACUCAGGCGCUACAUGGCCUAACCAAAUGAC
Molecule: microRNA precursor, 123 nt
Filed under: Xyrichtys novacula (pearly razorfish)
Lineage: Eukaryota; Metazoa; Chordata; Actinopteri; Labriformes; Labridae
Source: RNAcentral